This 210-nucleotide long non-coding RNA is filed under the name Elaeis guineensis (African oil palm). RNAcentral describes it as "long non-coding RNA (EGUI_LNC017081)". The record is from RNAcentral. Lineage: Eukaryota; Viridiplantae; Streptophyta; Magnoliopsida; Arecales; Arecaceae.
AUCGACACCAAAAAAGAGAUGUGAAUUAGCUUUUCUGACUGGAUAUCUUUUGAAGAUUUUUGUAUGAAAUUGCUUAUAGAUUUUACUUCUUGUGAUAGAAGAUCACAAAGUCUACAAUACUCUUGGAGUUGGAAUAGUCAUUUUGAUGAUAUGAUCAAAUUGUUUGAUCAGAAAAGAAGAAUUAUAUGUUUUCAAAAGGGUUAGUGGGAG